UACGAAGGGGGCUAGCGUUGCUCGGAAUCACUGGGCGUAAAGCGCACGUAGGCGGAUCGUUAAGUCAGGGGUGAAAUCCUGGAGCUCAACUCCAGAACUGCCUUUGAUACUGGCGAUCUUGAGUCCGGGAGAGGUGAGUGGAACUGCGAGUGUAGAGGUGAAAUUCGUAGAUAUUCGCAAGAACACCAGUGGCGAAGGCGGCUCACUGGCCCGGUACUGACGCUGAGGUGCGAAAGCGUGGGGAGCAAACAGG
Molecule: ribosomal RNA, 253 nt
Filed under: uncultured bacterium
Lineage: Bacteria
Description: partial 16S ribosomal RNA
Rfam family: Bacterial small subunit ribosomal RNA
Source: RNAcentral